CAACAAUUUCAGUGGCCAUGGCUAGGUUUUGCCUUCUAAUUGUAUGCUUUCUCUUCCCAGCUCCACCCAGCAUGUGCAUGUGAAGCCAACCAUAUCUAAAGCUAUGGCAAGGAAACUACAUGGGUGUGGUCCCAGCUAAGCCCAGCCACAUCUCUGCAGGGUUCUGACUGCUCUGGGAGGAGGAAAGCAUGAAACAGGAACAACAGUUCUGUGUCCUUUGCAUGAGUAACAGAUGUUUUGAAAGAGCUGCAAGAGACCAAGGGAACCCUUAUCUAAUCUGCAUAUGAUGUUCGCAAAGGGCCUGCUGGAAGAUCCAAGUCCAGUCUGCACUCAUGAAGCACCUGCUCUGCAGACAGAGAUUACACCUCUUAAUCAUAUACAGUGAAAACUCAUUAGCUGAGAAACUAUUGGCUUUUAUUCUGCCAUUGAGAAAGAACUUGCACUUGGUGUCUCUCACACCUGUGUCUUCCUUCACCCUUGCAACUUCCAUGGGGCUUUUUUCUGAGGAAUUCAUUUUAGCCCCAGAUCCUGCAAGCUGAGAUAUUUAUACAGCCUAAGCCCAGAGUCUCUGAGGAGCAACUAGGAUUAUCAAACCAUUAAAUUUCGGUAAGAUGAGACUUCUCUAGAUUCUAUGGAUUUUACAGCAUUUUUGCAGACUGACAGGCACUGUCAGCUGGGAGCUCAGCAUGGCUUCUUGUUCCCUGCUACCAGGUAGGUGUUCACCUGCAGCUCCAUCCUUUCACAAGUACAUGGUUCUCCUGGACAUUUUAUUGCCAAGUUCUAGAAAAAAACAUAUGAGAUGUCAGAGAAAAACAGAACAUUUAUAUUUUAAGGAUAAAUAAUACUGUUGCUGGAGGAUAAAAAUGCCAUUAAAUUUAUUAACUCUAGUGGUAAUGUCUAUUUAAAAUGGUAUUGAGAAGCAGUCUGCUAUGUAACUAAACUAUUAAAUAAAAGCCCAAACAACAUUUCUUUGUUCAGCCAAACCGACACCAUUGGUAUUACCUUGUUUGCCCACAGUUUAGCUGAGGACCUGGUAGUUUGCUUUCCUGGACAUUGCUUUCUCAAUAAGUGUAUGGCAAAUUCAUAAAGCUCAUCACCACCAUCUGAUGCUCUGCUCUGACCACUGGUUUUGUUGGAGUUAGAGCAGAUUAUUAUUUUUUUCCAACAGGAUGAGCAGGCCUAUUAAACACGGAAUAGAAACUGAACCCAAAACUCGGAGCUGAUGGUGUUUUCUGAAAUGGCCACGUACCAGCUGCAGUGCUGUCGGUAUGUGUUCUGCUGUUGGUUUGAAGGGAGCAGGAUGUGACCUGUGGUACCUUUCAUGGCAGGGCAUUGCAAGCAUGCUACCAUUUAGGGAUCUACUCAUCCUCUAAUAUGCGCCCUGAAAAUGCUGCAACACUGUUUAUUGUCUGUAUUAAGGUUGCGCCUAGUUUAUGCUAAUUUUGAUAGCGGAAAGACCAUGUUCUGUAUCACUUAUGCACAUUUAUGCACAAGGCACUAUUUUCAGCAUGCAUCAGGACCCUAGGCACCCCAAGAGGCUCCGAUUGCCCUGAGCAGCCUUGGAUGGGGGUGGCACCCUCUGCCCCUAGCCAGGCCCUGCAUUUGCACCCCAGCGUUUGCCCUUCCACCUGAGCCGUGCCGU
This 1642-nucleotide long non-coding RNA is filed under the name Cairina moschata (Muscovy duck). Its description in RNAcentral is "domestica (muscovy Duck (domestic type)) lncRNA (ENSCMMG00000010477.1)". The record is from RNAcentral. Lineage: Eukaryota; Metazoa; Chordata; Aves; Anseriformes; Anatidae.